RNAcentral lists this ribosomal RNA (1061 nucleotides) under Salmonella enterica subsp. enterica serovar Typhimurium. RNAcentral describes it as "partial 23S ribosomal RNA". It matches the Rfam family "Bacterial large subunit ribosomal RNA", at positions 638 to 1616 of the family's 2925-position model. Lineage: Bacteria; Pseudomonadati; Pseudomonadota; Gammaproteobacteria; Enterobacterales; Enterobacteriaceae. The record is from RNAcentral.
UAGCAAGGUUAACCGUAUAGGGGAGCCGGAGGGAAACCGAGUCUUAACCGGGCGUUAAGUUGCAGGGUAUAGACCCGAAACCCGGUGAUCUAGCCAUGGGCAGGUUGAAGGUUGGGUAACACUAACUGGAGGACCGAACCGACUAAUGUUGAAAAAUUAGCGGAUGACCUGUGGCUGGGGGUGAAAGGCCAAUCAAACCGGGAGAUAGCUGGUUCUCCCCGAAAGCUAUUUAGGUAGCGCCUCGUGAAUUCAUCUCCGGGGGUAGAGCACUGUUUCGGCUAGGGGGCCAUCCCGGCUUACCAACCCGAUGCAAACUGCGAAUACCGGAGAAUGUUAUCACGGGAGACACACGGCGGGUGCUAACGUCCGUCGUGAAGAGGGAAACAACCCAGACCGCCAGCUAAGGUCCCAAAGUCAUGGUUAAGUGGGAAACGAUGUGGGAAGGCCCAGACAGCCAGGAUGUUGGCUUAGAAGCAGCCAUCAUUUAAAGAAAGCGUAAUAGCUCACUGGUCGAGUCGGCCUGCGCGGAAGAUGUAACGGGGCUAAACCAUGCACCGAAGCUGCGGCAGCGAACGUAUCACCCAAGACAACUUUACGGAGUUGACGAUUGACGGAGCGAAGCGACGUCAAAGCGUUCAUUAAAGUCGAGUUGGCUUAGGGAUACGUUCGUUGGGUAGGGGAGCGUUCUGUAAGCCUGUGAAGGUGUGUCGUGAGGCAUGCUGGAGGUAUCAGAAGUGCGAAUGCUGACAUAAGUAACGAUAAAGCGGGUGAAAAGCCCGCUCGCCGGAAGACCAAGGGUUCCUGUCCAACGUUAAUCGGGGCAGGGUGAGUCGACCCCUAAGGCGAGGCCGAAAGGCGUAGUCGAUGGGAAACGGGUUAAUAUUCCCGUACUUGGUGUUACUGCGAAGGGGGGACGGAGAAGGCUAUGUUGGCCGGGCGACGGUUGUCCCGGUUUAAGCGUGUAGGUGUGUGUUCCAGGUAAAUCCGGUUCACUUUAACACUGAGGCGUGACGACGAGGCACUACGGUGCUGAAGCAACAAAUGCCCUGCUUCCAGGAAAA